GGCGGCGUGCCUAAUACAUGCAAGUCGAGCGCAGGAAACAAGUAGAUCCCUUCGGAGUGACGCUUGUGGAAUGAGCGGCGGACGGGUGAGUAACACGUGGGCAACCUACCUUGUAGACUGGGAUAACUCCGGGAAACCGGAGCUAAUACGGGAUGAUCAUUUGAAUCGCAUGAUUGAAAUGUAAAAGUGGGGAGUAAUCCUCACACUAUGAGAUGGGCCCGCGGCGCAUUAGCUAGUUGGUAAGGUAAUGGCUUACCAAGGCAACGAUGCGUAGCCGACCUGAGAGGGUGAUCGGCCACACUGGAACUGAGACACGGUCCAGACUCCUACGGGAGGCAGCAGUAGGGAAUCAUCCGCAAUGGGCGAAAGCCUGACGGUGCAACGCCGCGUGAACGAUGAAGGUUUUCGGAUCGUAAAGUUCUGUUAUGAGGGAAGAACAAGUGCCGUUCGAAUAGGGCGGCACCUUGACGGUACCUCACGAGAAAGCCCCGGCUAACUACGUG
RNAcentral lists this ribosomal RNA (503 nucleotides) under uncultured bacterium. RNAcentral describes it as "bacterial SSU rRNA". It matches the Rfam family "Bacterial small subunit ribosomal RNA", at positions 38 to 507 of the family's 1533-position model. The record is from RNAcentral.